Molecule: ribosomal RNA, 417 nt
Filed under: uncultured bacterium
Lineage: Bacteria
Description: partial 16S ribosomal RNA
Rfam family: Bacterial small subunit ribosomal RNA
Source: RNAcentral
CCUACGGGAGGCAGCAGUGAGGAAUAUUGGUCAAUGGGCGGAAGCCUGAACCAGCCAAGUCGCGUGAGGGAAUAAGGCCCUACGGGUCGUAAACCUCUUUUGCCGGAGAGUACCCGGAGAAAAAGCAUCGGCUAACUCCGUGCCAGCAGCCGCGGUAAUACGGAGGAUGCGAGCGUUAUCCGGAUUUAUUGGGUUUAAAGGGUGCGCAGGGGGAGGCACAAGUCAGCGGUGAAAUCGCGCUGGUCAACCCGGCGAAGCGGUUGUGACAGUGUCCCGCGGGUGUGCGGAGGCCGUGGGAGGAAGGUGUGGUGUAGCGGUGACAUGCAUAGAGAGCGCACAGAACGCCGAUUGCGGAGGGAUCGCACGAAGCCGCGAUUGACGCUGAUGCACGAGCGCGUGGGUAUGAAACGGGAUUAG